ACAUAAAUUAAUAUAUUUAUUAGUAUAUUAAAAAUUAAUUUAAUUCUUGCCUUUUGGUCCUUUCUUUGAUGUGAGACCCACACUCUUGAGCUCUAUAUAUAGUUACAAUAGUAUGUGCAUAGGCAUCAAAACCAGACCUAAUAUUCUGUCAUGGCUAAGUUCAAGAAUCCAUAUUCUGUCAUGUGCAACACUGUUCCUCCCUUUGCAUUUGCAGUUUUGCACCAGAUGAAUAGGGUAAUGGUCAAUUGCUCUUCUUUGUUGAUUUACACUCUCUUAUAUGUUUUCAUCUUAAUAGUUUCAUUUUGGCUCUAAUUUACUUGGUCCAGAACUAUGGUAAGAUUGGUCAAGAUGUGGUGGAAUACCUACAGCUCCCAGAUGAUGGAGAAUUUCUCCUUACUAACCCAUUGGGUGUGAAUUUUAGUGGAACUUACAAUUGAAUAUUAAAGGUACAUAAAUUAAUAUAUUUAUUAGUAUAUUAAAAAUUAAUUUAAUUCUUGCCUUUUGGUCCUUUCUUUGAUGUGAGACCCACACUCUUGAGCUCUAUAUAUAGUUACAAUAGUAUGUGCAUAGGCAUCAAAACCAGACCUAAUAUUCUGUCAUGGCUAAGUUCAAGAAUCCAUAUUAUGUCAUGUGCAACACUGUUCCUCCCUUUGCAUUUGCAGUUUUGCACCAGAUGAAUAGGGUAAUGGUCAAUUGCUCUUCUUUGUUGAUUUACACUCUCUUAUAUAUUUUCAUCUUAAUAGUUUCAUUUUGGCUCUAAUUUACUUGGUCCAGAACUAUGGUAAGAUUGGUCAAGAUGUGGUGGAAUAC
Molecule: long non-coding RNA, 810 nt
Filed under: Lotus japonicus
Lineage: Eukaryota; Viridiplantae; Streptophyta; Magnoliopsida; Fabales; Fabaceae
Description: long non-coding RNA (LJAP_LNC002087)
Source: RNAcentral